AUGGCCAAGUACUGGUGGGCGAGCUCUUUGGACAAGCGAUCCCUUCAUUGGGGUUCCUGGAAGAAUCUUGCAACACCUAAAGCAAAGGGCGGGAUGGGCUUCAAGGACUUACACUUAUUUAAUCUAGCCAUGCUAGGGAAGGAAGGAUGGCGUUUGAUCACUCAUCCAGACUCCCUCUGCUCCAGAGUUCUGAAGGGAAAGUAUUUCCUGCUGAUAGAUUUCAAAAAUGCUAGUGCCCCAUUUCGGUCUUCAACCACCUGGAAAGCCAUUAUAGCAGGACGGAAGGCCCUCGACACGGGACUUAUCAAACGCGUCGGGGAUGGUUCGUUGAUCUCGACGUGGACAGAUCGAUGGAUCCCUAGUACCAUCUCUAUGAAAGCUACAGGUCGCAUUGGUGAUGCCCAACUUGACAGCGUUUCAGACUUGAUUGACAACUACACAAGAGGUUGGAAAGUGGAAGUUCUAAGGCAGAAUUUCCUCCACCCAGAUGCAGAGGCCAUAUUGAACAUUCCCUUGAAUUCUGCGGGAGGCGAAGAUACAAUUGUUUGGGCCCUCAAAAAAUCCGGCAUCUACUCUGUUAAAUCAGCGUAUCAUUCUCUUGUGACUCACAACGAGCUUGGCACUCUAAAGGAAGGGACGAUCACAGAAACCUCAAGGACAGAUAAACAGACGUGGGAUGCUCUUUGGAAACUUCAUGUGGUACCCAAAGUACGAGUCUUCUGGUGGCGAGUUUUGAGAGGUAUCCUUCUGGACUCGGUCACUCUUUAG
This 768-nucleotide ribosomal RNA is filed under the name Triticum aestivum (bread wheat). RNAcentral describes it as "partial small subunit ribosomal RNA". Lineage: Eukaryota; Viridiplantae; Streptophyta; Magnoliopsida; Poales; Poaceae. The record is from RNAcentral.